This 849-nucleotide long non-coding RNA is filed under the name Lepisosteus oculatus (spotted gar). RNAcentral describes it as "lncRNA (ENSLOCG00000022084.1)". The record is from RNAcentral. Lineage: Eukaryota; Metazoa; Chordata; Actinopteri; Semionotiformes; Lepisosteidae.
UUUCAGAAUAUAAUUGCGGGGAAUUGUUUUCCGAGCACCGCGAGCUGUGGAGCUGGUCGAAUCGGCAUUUAGCCACGCACCAACAAAACGUGUGUGUACAGAUAGUCUUUGCCCCCUCACUAUGUACUGUAUUUUUAUUUUGAAUGUCAAGUAUGAUAGAUCUGAAGAUCUGAAGACGAACAACUGAACAACUGAUCUGAAUUAUUGAAAAAAGAAUCGCCAGUAUUUAGUACUCCAGUUGUAAGAAUUGGAUAAAAACACUGUAUUACACCCACUAAUUUAAAACCGGGAGAAAUUCGGCUGGAGGUUUUCUACAGGCUGCGCUGACAAUAGAAAUAUCGGUAGAGAAAUUAAAGCAUAAAACUCUACUUAGCAUCAGUCUACAGUACGUGCACGCAAACAGUCACGUUGUUCCUCGCUUCUACAGAAAAAAACUUGAUCACAAACAUUAAACUACAGUGAAAAAAAGCUAAAAUCUAAUGGCACUAUACUGUAUAUUGUAGACAAAAACUUUUAAUCAGCAAUUAUUUCCGUAGGGAACUGAUGAUUUAAGAUCUGAAAACCGCAAUUGUAAAUUACUUAGUGACCCGAUGUUAAAUAAGAUGGUAAGAAAAACAUUUAUUUACACUUUCCGAAACCCGAUUAAUUAUCCGGUUUCAGGGAUGCGAGUGUUAACUGCUGCAGCCCCUACGGAAGCAUCUCAUUCGAAGAGAAGAUUGAAUGGAUCAUUUAUCACCGCUGAUAAAUUUCUUCCAAUGACUGGCAUGGAAUAAACCUAUUACUUGUUCCUUAACCGAAAUAAGGUGUAGACAAACGGAAUAUAAUAUUGUUCAACAAGGGAAAACAUUC